Molecule: ribosomal RNA, 309 nt
Filed under: uncultured eukaryote
Lineage: Eukaryota
Description: partial 18S ribosomal RNA
Rfam family: Eukaryotic small subunit ribosomal RNA
Source: RNAcentral
CCCUUAGAUGUUCUGGGCGGCCCGCGCACUACAUUGGCACUCUCAAUAAGUUCCUAGAUCUAAAACUUUGGGGUAUUCUAUUAAGUGGUGUCGUGACUGGGAUUAACCCUUGCAAUUAUUGGUUACGAACGAGGAAUUCCUUGUAAUCGCGGUUUAUCAGCCCGCGUCGAAUGCGUCCCUGCCCUUUGUACACACCGCCCGUCGCUCCUACCGAUGAAUCGUCCGGUGAAGUUCAUGGAGUGGUGGUUGUUCCAGCUGCUGUCGAAGUGAAAUGGACCUCACGAUUUAGAGGAAGGAGAAGUCGUAACA